CACCGGCGGCUCGAGUGGUAACCGUUAUUAUUGGGUCUAAAGGGUCUGUAGCCGGCCGGAUAAGUCUCUUGAGAAAUCCAGCAGCUCAACUGUUGGGCUUUCAGGAGAUACUGUUCGGCUCGAGGCCGGGAGAGGUGAGAGGUACUUCAGGGGUAGGGGUGAAAUCUUGUAAUCCUUGAAGGACCACCAGUGGCGAAGGCGUCUCACCAGAACGGACCUGACGGCAAGGGACGAAAGCUAGGGGCACGAACCGG
Molecule: ribosomal RNA, 254 nt
Filed under: uncultured bacterium
Lineage: Bacteria
Description: partial 16S ribosomal RNA
Rfam family: Archaeal small subunit ribosomal RNA
Source: RNAcentral